This 686-nucleotide long non-coding RNA is filed under the name Mus caroli (Ryukyu mouse). RNAcentral describes it as "predicted gene, 26854 (MGP_CAROLIEiJ_G0005085.1)". The record is from RNAcentral. Lineage: Eukaryota; Metazoa; Chordata; Mammalia; Rodentia; Muridae.
CUUCGGCCCGGGACGGACCAUCGGCCGCCCUGUCGGGGGAGUCAGGAUGCACAAAGUUUCCAAAAAGUUCUGCCAGUCGCUGCCGCACCCCGCUCGGGGCAGAGCUUAACUUAGCAAAGCAUGACUCCUCUUCCUGGAUGGACCCAAGCAGACUGUUGCUUGACUUAUUACUGAAGCUGCACAUCACCCAGAAGCAAGAAUUCAUCACUAAAGGGAGCACCACGUACUUCAAGAAGUAGAUAAACCUGCCUUACCCUCCUGCAACCAUCCAGCACUUGUUGGGUGCUCUGCCUAGCUCAGAGGAUGCUAAGUGGAGCAACACAAUGGACAGACUUAUUGACAGUAGCACAGUGUGAUGAGAAUGGAAAGAAGAAGAGAUAUUUAGGAAGACAGCUCUUCAAAUAUGCGGCACUUUGGGAGUCAUGAUGAUGAGUGUGCAGUAUGUGAACCCGGAAUGGCUUCUUCAGUGUGUCCUUUAGCUCUCUCCCUAGAUUCCAAACUCGGUGUUACCAGUAUGCAGUCUCAUUGCUUCCUUAUGGCAGGACACAGAGUAAUUAAAUACAUGUUUUCAUAUUAUAUUUCCUUAUUAUAUUCUACUUUUUUUUUACCACAGUGUACAUUAUUUUUUAUCUUUACUAGAUCAAAAAAAGUCAUAUCUUCUUUAAAAAAUAAAAUGUGAUGGUGAC